UCUCUGGGUGUGAACUUGUAGAAGUGGGAUGCGGAAAGUCUAUGGCCCUAAAUUGGGGGUGCUGGGGAGACCCAGAAGCGAUGACACAAGAGGAACAGAGAUACAGAUUCUGAGCUAGAGGGGAGAGAGGAACUGAGACAGAAAGAUAGUGAUGGAGAGACAGAGCAAGUGAACUGAGAGACACUGAGGAGACCACACUCUGGCAGAGAGACAGCAGCAAGAGACAGAAAAAGUAGGGUCCAUAGAAAAAUGGACAUGGAGAGGCUGACCCCUGAGACUCUAGGAAAGCAACAGGUGGGGAAAUGACUGAUGGUGAUGCAGGAGAUGGGGAGAGAAGGCUCCGAGUGAGAAAGGGACUAGACACAACCGGGAGAAGCAGGGGCCUUGGAGCAGGAAGGAAAAACCUCAACGCAGAAAGUGAGAGAUGGAGACAGAGAGAGGGACACGGACAGAAACACACACAGAGGAACAAAAGAGAGGAAGACCGAGAGACACACAAAGACGGAAGGCAGGGGAGGCUGCUAUGCGGGCGCACGGCCCCCAGGCCCUGCCAGUUACUGAUGGUCGACGCAGAUGGGAGAAACGUGGAGCCCGCACCCAGCGGACAGAUAGACCGACAAAGCCGGGAGAGGCCGGGCGGGGUCGGGGCGGGGCGGGGCGGGUGCCCGCAGGUCCAGGGCCGAUCUGGGGAAAGCAGGGGAGGGGCAGGCGGCCAGAAGGGGAAGGAAGCGGAGGUGCCGGGCGGGCGCGGGGCGCAGGCAGGAAGCGGGGAGGGGCGGCGGGGCGGGGGCCUCCGGAAAAACGCCCCAACUUCCUGCCCCGCCAGAGCCAGGAAGCGGGAGCUGGGACACCGGGCCCGGGAUCGCCGAGCCCGACCUCGGGCGCCCCGCCGGUCACCUCCCCGCGCGGACACCAGCCCUGCAGAGCCCAUGGAGGCAGAAGACGUCGCCCGAGGGGCGGCCCCGGGGCCCCCCCGACCCGGUCUGGUGCCUGUCAGCAUCAUCGGGGCGGAGGAUGAGGAUUUCGAGAAUGAGCUCAAGACGAACCCAGAGGAGCAAAGCAACCAGUUCCAGAGCCUGGAGCAGGUGAAGCAGCGGCCAGCCCACCUCAUGGCCCUCCUGCAGUAUGUGGCCAUGCAGUUCGAGCCAGGACCCCUGCUCUGCUGCCUGCACGCGGACAUGCUGGGCUCACUGGGCCCCAAGGAGGCCAAGAAGGCCUUCAUCGACUUCUACCACAGCUUCCUGGACAAGACCGCGGUUCUGCGGGUGCAGGUCCCUCCCACCGUGGCCUUUGAACUUGACCGCACCCGGCCUGAACUCAUCUCGGAGGACAUCCAGCGGCAGUUUGUGCAGGAGGUGGUGCAGAGGCAGCAGGCCCUCGUCAGCCGGCAGCUGGAGGACUUUCGCUCCAAGAAGCUCAUGGGCAUGACACCCUGGGAGCAGGAGCUGACCCAGCUAGGGGCCUGGGUUGGACGGGACCGCGCCAGCUUUGAGGCCCGGGAGCGGCACCUGGCCGAGCGGCAGCUGACCCACCUGGAGGAGAUGCAACACACCAUCUCUCCCGAUGAGGAAAAGAGUGCCGCGGUGGUCAACGCCAUCAGCCUGUACAUGCGCCACCUCGGGGUGCGGACCAAGAGCGGGGACAAGAAGUCGGGGAGAAAUUUCUUCCGGAAAAAGGUGAUAGGGAACCGGCGGUCCGAUGAGCCAACCAAGGCCAAGAAAGGACUGAGCAGCUUCCUGGAUGCCGCCCGCUGGAACCGGACAGAGCCCCAGGCUCCAGAUUUUCGACACCUCAAAGUCGAGACUGACGCUGAGAAGCCAGUCCUUACAGAACGGAAGGGAGGUCUAGGGGUGCCCUCUCGGGACCGGAAUAUCGGAGCCCCUGGGCAGGACACCCCCGGAGUUUCUCCGCACCCUCUGCCUGGGGACAGCCCUGACCGGGAACCAGGUGUUGAUGCCCUCCCUGAACUGGGGGACCCACCCCCACAGGGCCCAGUCAGCCUGGAGCCCCCAGUGGCUGCGGAGAGCACCGAGGAGGGUGCUGACACGGAGAGAAGGUGGAAGAGGCUGUCGGGGCGUCUGGGGCGCUCAGAGAGUCUGCGGGUGAGUGACCGCCGCCGGCCUUCCCGGGGCAGCCUCGGGGCUAAGGGCCGGGGUGGGGGCCGCUCCCGAAGCGACGUGGACAUGGACCCCAGCUCUGCCACGGCCGUGCUUGGCCCUGCCCGACGAGCCACCCCCGAGCCUGGAGAUGAGGGGGAGCCGGGCCGAUCGGGACUAGAGCUGGAACCAGAGGAACCGCCCGGCUGGCGGGAGCUCGUGCCCCUGGGCACACUGCACAGCCUGCCCAAGAGCCAGGUGAAGCGGCAGGAGGUCAUCAGUGAGCUACUGGUGACGGAGGCGGCCCACGUGCGCAUGCUCCGGGUGCUGCAUGACCUCUUCUACCAGCCCAUGGCGGAGGGGGGCUUCUUUCUCCUGGAGGAACUGCAGAACAUCUUCCCCAGCCUGGAAGAGCUCAUCGAGGUGCAUUCCCUGUUCCUGGAUCGCCUGAUGAAGCGGAGGCAGGACAGUGGCUACCUCAUUGAGGAGAUUGGAGAUGUGCUGUUGGCCCAGUUUGAUGGUCCCGAGGGCUCCUGGUUCCAGAAAAUCUCCUCCCGCUUCUGCAGCCGCCAGUCGUUUGCCUUAGAGCAGCUCAAAGCCAAACAGCGCAAGGAGCCUCGGUUCUGUGCCUUUGUUCAGGAGGCCGAGAGCCAGCCGCGGUGCCGCCGCCUGCAGCUGAAGGACAUGAUCCCCACGGAGAUGCAGCGUCUGACCAAGUACCCACUGCUUCUGCAGAGCAUCGGGCAGAACACAGAAGAGCCGGCGGAGCGAGAAAAAGUGGAGCAGGCGGCGGAGUGCUGCCGGGAAAUUCUGCACCAUGUCAACCAGGCCGUGCGUGACAUGGAGGACCUGCUGCGGCUCAAGGACUAUCAGAGGCGGCUGGAUUUGUCCCACCUGAAGCAGAGCAGCGACCCCAUGCUGAGCGAGUUCAAGAACCUGGACAUCACCAAAAAGAAGCUUGUCCAUGAGGGCCCCCUGACGUGGCGGGUGACGAAGGACAAAGCUGUGGAGGUCCACGUGCUGCUGCUGGACGACCUGCUAUUGCUGCUCCAGCGCCAGGACGAUCGGCUGCUGCUCAAGUCACACAGCCGGACACUGACACCCACGCCCGACGGCAAGACCAUGCUGCGGCCAGUGCUGCGGCUCACCUCUGCCAUGACCCGUGAGGUGGCCACCGAUCACAAAGCCUUCUAUGUGAUUUUUACCUGGGACCAGGAGGCCCACAUAUACGAGCUGGUGGCACAGACCGUGUCAGAGCGGAAAAACUGGUGUACCCUCAUCACUGAAACCGCAGGAUCCCUGAAGGUCCCUGCCCCCACCUCCCGCCCCAAACACCGGCCCAGCCCCAGCAGGCCUCUCUGUCUCCCCAUCUCCCAGCCUCAAUCUCUGUUUCUGUCUUGGGACCUCCCUGACUCCCCAGCUCCAGUUCUGUCUCCCUGCCCCUGCUGACCCUGGGGCCAGGGCCGUGGGGUCACCCGGCACUUGCUUCCCCCAGCAGCCGUGAACCCCUGCUCAGCAGCUCUGAGAAUGGCAACGGCGGCCGAGAGAUGCCCCCAGCUGACGGCCGGAUGGAGAGGAUCUUCACUGCCCUCCUGCCCUUCUGCAGACCAGGCCCUGAGGGCCAGCUUGCCGCCAAGGCCCUUCAGAAAGUGCUGUCCCUGAAGCAGCUCCUGUUUCCCCUGGAGGAAGACAGCAGGACGGGGCCUCCCCUCGAAGGGGAUGGGGUCCCAGGAGGCAGCCCCCUUAGCCCAGCACAGAUUCAGGAAAUUCGGGAGGAGCUACUCAACCUGGAGGAGACCAUUAAACAUCUGGAGGAGGUGGAGGAGGAGUUUUGCCGCCUGAGACUCCUCCUGUCUCAGCUCGGGGAGAACACUGUCCCCCAGCCUGGCUGUACCUGAGGCCCCUGCCCCAGGCAGGCCUUUCGCAAGGAGAGAGCGUGAGGGCUGCCCACCACUGCACAGCUGCCACAGCAUCUCCGACCCCAAGGGCCUGAGGAGGGGGGACCCAGCUGCCGGGGCCGCGCCUGGGGGGGCAUGGCUGAGAUCGCUGCCCCCCACCUCCCACCGGCCUCCCCUCCCUCCUGCUUGGGGGACUCAGGGCUUUGUUCCGGGGGACACCACCUGGCCCCAUCCCUGGGCCAUCUCAGUAUUGCCUGGGGGGCCCACCCCUCCAUCCCCACCCCCAAGUGCCUUUGCUCUGUUUUUAUACCUGGAAUUGGAGGUUUAUUUUUUAAUAUAUAUUAUCUAAGGAGA
Molecule: non-coding RNA, 4348 nt
Organism: Sus scrofa (pig)
Lineage: Eukaryota; Metazoa; Chordata; Mammalia; Artiodactyla; Suidae
Source: RefSeq, a predicted model, not a curated record